UAAACUCUAGCUCAAAGUUAAUGCAUAAUCUUCUGUCAAACAUGUGAAAUGGCUGACGAUUGAAGGAAAAUGGAAAGGAGAAGAAGGCUUCAUCCUCAACAGGAUGCUGAAAAACAUAUUCAAUUGAAGACUGACAAGGCUGGUCUUACAGAGCAUUUCAUCAACCCCUAUAAAGGUCGAGGUGUGCUUGCUACCAAGGAAUUCAACCAAGGAGACUUCAUGCUUGAAUAUCGGGGUAAACUUUUCAAACAGGAUCAUCAUACAAACUACAACUACAAUGAUACAGAAGCAGUGUUCCUGUUUGAUUUCAAAUGGAAUGGGAAAUGUUGGUGGUAAGUAGUAAUACAUAUGCCCUUGUUUGUAGAUGAUAGAAUUGCAAUAGUUAUGAGAUAAGCUUUAAAUGGCCCAC
RNAcentral lists this long non-coding RNA (409 nucleotides) under Cottoperca gobio. RNAcentral's name for it is "lncRNA (ENSCGOG00000004147.1)". The record is from RNAcentral. Lineage: Eukaryota; Metazoa; Chordata; Actinopteri; Perciformes; Bovichtidae.